Non-coding RNA from Xyrichtys novacula (pearly razorfish), 985 nucleotides. Lineage: Eukaryota; Metazoa; Chordata; Actinopteri; Labriformes; Labridae. The record is from the annotation of a GenBank genome assembly.
GCUCAUUUCAAAUCACUACAUAUAUUUUGGUGCCCCGUGUGAGGCGUUUCAAACAAAACUUCUGGAUACUAACAGACAACCUAAAACUUAGCCUUCCAAAUUGAUGAGAGAAACUUAUUUCCAGGCUAUUUUAGACUUAAUCACAAUCAAUGCUAUGCUUGCUGAAGUUGCUUGACUAAGUUCUGAUGUUUUCCUGAUCUAUGCAUAAAACCUUUAUGCUCUGUGUUUCACACACUUUUGUACUACAUGCCUGUAGUCUGUGUUUGAGCUGGACAGCGUGAAAUGUUGUUCUGAGUAGCAGUGAGACUGACUCCUCUGCUCUGUCUAGACUGUCCAAUAUUUAAGUGCACGAUUGUUGCGUCGCCGUACGCUUGUAUUUAAGGCCUUUGGCUGAACCCAGUGUUCGCGAUGCUCCGAGCUGUGGUUUCAAGCCCCUGAAGUCUCUGUAGUCUGCUACGAGGUUCUAGUAACUAUAUGGGAUUCAGAUUUCCUCCUUUCCCCUGACAGAUUAGCUACCUGUCACAGGAAACCACUGUAACAGUGGGAGGUUGUUGUUUGAUUGAAUUCAGACAAAAUUUGUGAUCACAAAUCGCCACAUUUGUGAUUUUAAAGUCUGCAGUUGAAUCUGCUGUUGAGGGAUUUGUCACUUUGAUUCUUGUCUCUAUCGUCUGCUACGAAGUUCUAGUAACUAUACAGUAUGGGAUUCAGAUUUCCUCCUUUCCCCUGACAGAUUAACUACCUGUCACAGGAAACCACUGUAACAGUGGGAGGCUGUUGUUUGAAUGAAUUCAGACAAAAUCCGUGAUCACAAAUCGCCGCAUUUGUGAUUUUUUUUAAGUCUGCAGUUGAAUCUGCUGUUUAAGGAUUUGCCACUUUGAUCCUUGUUCCUGUAAAUGAUUUUAUUGAACCAAUCGGCCUGAGCAGAUGGUGUAAAGUUCUAUGUUUGAGGGUGCAGACGCAGCCUGCUGUGAAAUGUUAACCCUUU